UGGGGAAUUUUGGACAAUGGGCGAAAGCCUGAUCCAGCAAUGCCGCGUGUGUGAAGAAGGCCUUCGGGUUGUAAAGCACUUUUGUCCGGAAAGAAAUCCUUGGCUCUAAUACAGUCGGGGGAUGACGGUACCGGAAGAAUAAGCACCGGCUAACUACGUGCCAGCAGCCGCGGUAAUACGUAGGGUGCAAGCGUUAAUCGGAAUUACUGGGCGUAAAGCGUGCGCAGGCGGUUUGCUAAGACCGAUGUGAAAUCCCCGGGCUCAACCUGGGAACUGCAUUGGUGACUGGCAGGCUAGAGUAUGGCAGAGGGGGGUAGAAUUCCACAUGUAGCAGUGAAAUGCGUAGAGAUGUGGAGGAAUACCGAUGGCGAAGGCAGCCCCCUGGGCCAAUACUGACGCUCAUGCACGAAAGCGUGGGGAGCAAACAGGAUUAGAUACCCUGGUAGUCCACGCCCUAAACGAUGUCAACUAGUUGUUGGGGGAUUCAUUUCCUUAGUAACGUAGCUAACGCGUGAAGUUGACCGCCUGGGGAGUACGGUCGCAAGAUUAAAACUUAAAUGAAUUGACGGGGUCAUAGCUGUUUCCU
Molecule: ribosomal RNA, 586 nt
Filed under: uncultured bacterium
Lineage: Bacteria
Description: partial 16S ribosomal RNA
Rfam family: Bacterial small subunit ribosomal RNA
Source: RNAcentral